RNAcentral lists this ribosomal RNA (449 nucleotides) under uncultured bacterium. RNAcentral's name for it is "partial 16S ribosomal RNA". It matches the Rfam family "Bacterial small subunit ribosomal RNA", at positions 29 to 523 of the family's 1533-position model. The record is from RNAcentral.
AACGAACGCUGGCGGCAUGCCUAACACAUGCAAGUCGAACGAGAUCUUCGGGUCUAGUGGCGCACGGGUGCGUAACGCGUGGGAAUCUGCCCUUUGGUUCGGAAUAACAGUUGGAAACGACUGCUAACAACGGAUGAUGACGACAGUCCAAAGAUUUAUCGCCAGAGGAUGAGCCCGCGUAGGAUUAGCUAGUUGGUGUGGUAAAGGCGAACCAAGGCGACGAUCCUUAGCUGGUCUGAGAGGAUGAUCAGCCACACUGGGACUGAGACACGGCCCAGACUCCUACGGGAGGCAGCAGUGGGAAAUAUUGGACAAUGGGCGAAAGCCUGAUCCAGCAAUGCCGCGUGAGUGAUGAAGGCCUUAGGGUUGUAAAGCUCUUUUACCCGGGAUGAUAAUGACAGUACCGGGAGAAUAAGCUCCGGCUAACUCCGUGCCAGCCGCCGCGGUAA